Molecule: long non-coding RNA, 1104 nt
Organism: Labeo rohita (rohu)
Lineage: Eukaryota; Metazoa; Chordata; Actinopteri; Cypriniformes; Cyprinidae
Exons: 3
Source: RefSeq, a predicted model, not a curated record
GGGAAUUUCCCUUAGACAAAGAUGUUCUAAGGGCAGAAAGGAAAAUGAUUGGUUGACAGAUUCAACCAAUGAAAUUGAAGCCGAGGCGGGGUCAGGAAAUUUGGACGUGUGGAUGGAAUACUUCAGACAGAAACGUUAUUAGCGCUUCGUGGGAGGCAUUUGUUGCAAGUUACCUGGAGGAGUUGCAAAAUCUGGACAGAUCAAAGGAGCUAACACUGAAGAUCUGAUACUGCUGAGUCCAAAAUGGUGCAAAAAUGGAGAUGUAUGAAAAAUGGUGUCACCAGAUGAUGGAUCAGCAGCUAGAGACGACCUCUACAUCCCUAAAUGUCCUAAAUGAGUCCUCUGCAAUCUGACUUUGCUGCAACAUGGAACUUUUGCAUUAUUGACACACUAUUGUCCUAUUAAAAACUGUUGCUUUGACACAUCCUGUUUUGUUAAAAAGCGCUGUAUGAAUAAACAUGAUUGAUUGAUUUACCUCAUGUAAAUAAGAGGUUGCAUGCAACUUAUUUCUGCUAUCUUCACAUUUUUCAUGACACCUAUCAUUUUGAGAGAUAAAAUUUAAGAAAACCAUUUCAGCUAUAGUGGGUCUCUUUUUGAACCUGAGAUUUAAAUAAAUAACAUAUUAUUAAAUUUAAAUUUAUUCUUAAUCCAAGCAUGUGACAUUUAAUGUAUAGCAGACAACUAUGUGACAGGCCAUAUGAGCAGUGCAUUCCUGGGUUCAUAUGAUCACACUGUGAAUAAAUCAAAUCCAUGAGUUUUAUCACUGAGGUGCCAUGUACAUCAAUUUUUACAUAUGUUCCUACUGUCCAAAUAGGGCUUCUCUCACAUUCACUUGGUGAUACAUAAAUGUGAUUACAAAAGGUACCAGUCAAUUUUUGUGCAACCACUUAAUGUUUCUCCCAUGGACUAUUGCAGAGAAAUUAAGACUUGUAAUUUUAAUUAUAACUUGUGAGUUAUUUAUUUAUUUUUUUAAUAAUCGUGUUGUUAAUGUUGUAUCAUUCAAUGUCUGUUGUACAGAUUGUUUAAGAACAAAAUGAAAGAAAUGUUGAUUGAAAAUAAUCAGUUUACGGGUGCAAUAUUACAAUAAAAUAAGUUUAAUUAUGA